RNAcentral lists this ribosomal RNA (506 nucleotides) under uncultured bacterium. RNAcentral describes it as "partial 16S ribosomal RNA". It matches the Rfam family "Bacterial small subunit ribosomal RNA", at positions 29 to 523 of the family's 1533-position model. The record is from RNAcentral.
AUUGAACGCUGGCGGUAGGCCUAACACAUGCAAGUCGAACGGCAGCACAGGAGAGCUUGCUCCCUGGGUGGCGAGUGGCGGACGGGUGAGGAAUACAUCGGAAUCUACUUUUUCGUGGGGGAUAACGUAGGGAAACUUACGCUAAUACCGCAUACGACCUACGGGUGAAAGCAGGGGACCUUCGGGCCUUGCGCGAUUGAAUGAGCCGAUGUCGGAUUAGCUAGUUGGCGGGGUAAAGGCCCAACAAGGCGACGAUCCGUAGCUGGUCUGGGAGAAGGAUAAGCCACAGUGGAACAGAGACACGGGCCAGACUCCUACGGGAGGCAGCAGUGGGGAAUAUUGGACGAUGGGCGCAAGCCUGAGCCAGCCAUACCGCGUGGGUGAAGAAGGCCUUCGGGUUGUAAAGCCCUUUUGUUGGGAAAGAAAUCCAGCUGGCUAAUACCCGGUUGGGAUGACGGUACCCAAAGAAUAAGCACCGGCUAACUUCGUGCCAGCAGCCGCCGCAG